UACGGAGGGUGCAAGCGUUAAUCGGAAUUACUGGGCGUAAAGCGCACGCAGGCGGACUGUCAAGUCAGAUGUGAAAUCCCCGGGCUUAACCUGGGAACUGCAUUUGAAACUGGCAGGCUUGAGUCUCGUAGAGGGGGGUAGAAUUCCAGGUGUAGCGGUGAAAUGCGUAGAGAUCUGGAGGAAUACCGGUGGCGAAGGCGGCCCCCUGGACAAAGACUGACGCUCAGGUGCGAAAGCGUGGGGAGCAAACAGG
Molecule: ribosomal RNA, 253 nt
Filed under: uncultured bacterium
Lineage: Bacteria
Description: partial 16S ribosomal RNA
Rfam family: Bacterial small subunit ribosomal RNA
Source: RNAcentral